Taeniopygia guttata (zebra finch) is the source of this 732-nucleotide non-coding RNA. The record is from RefSeq and is a predicted model, not a curated record. NCBI's taxonomy places the organism in Eukaryota, Metazoa, Chordata, Aves, Passeriformes, Estrildidae.
AGAAGGGGACAGAUGAGGACUAGGCAUGCUUGGCAGGAGUCAAGAAUCAAUCCGGUCUGGACCCAGGCUUGGCUGGCACCAAAAUUCAAGCAGUGAAGGAUGAGACCUCAUAUCCAUCCCCCAGUGCUGUCACAAUCCACCACUCAGUGGUGGAUCCCACAGAGGGACAUCAGCACCUGAAUAUAAACAGAAAGGAGUGCAAGGUCGCAAAGCACUCCCAUGUGAUGUUAUCCUCCACCAUCCAGUGACAUCACAAUGGGACAUCAUGGCACGCCUUUGUUCCCUCUCACCUCAGCACACAGGUCUGGGACUGCUGGCAGAUAUUGCCAUGGGGACAGACAUGGAGGGUCACCAGAGGCCAGCAGCCAGGCUGGGUCAGUGCCCUGAGAACAGCCCCCACGGCCCAGUGCUUCUGGGUGGCCUCAUGCCCAGGGGCUCGGCAGGACUAAUCCAUUGAAAAUGGCAUUUUCCAGACUCUGUGUGGCCCUGGUUGAGACAAAGGCAGGAGGGAAUACACUAGGGCAGAGCAGGACCAGCCCCAGGAGGAGAGGAUUUUCUCCAGUUUCAAGAUAAUCUAGAUUCUCUUGCCUGUUGACCACAGGGAACUGAUAGAAAAACAAAUAAAAGGAAAGCAAGGAAAUCAUGUGUCUUAGUACUGUUAAAAUCUGCUUGAAGCUGCAACUUUGGAUUUAGCAUGUGCCCGAUUUAUCUGAUGCAUACUCUAUAUAUUCG